UGGCGAACGGGUGAGUAACACGUGGGUGAUCUGCCCUGCACUUCGGGAUAAGCUUGGGAACCUGGGUCUAAUACCGGAUAGGAGCCAUCUUUAGUGUGGUGGUUGGAAAGUUUUUUCGGUGUAGGAUGAGCUCGCGGCCUAUCAGCUUGUUGGUGGAGUAAUGGCCUACCAAGGCGGCGACGGGUAGCCGGCCUGAGAGGGUGUACGGCCACAUUGGGACUGAGAUACGGCCCAG
RNAcentral lists this ribosomal RNA (235 nucleotides) under uncultured Actinomycetales bacterium. Its description in RNAcentral is "partial 16S ribosomal RNA". It matches the Rfam family "Bacterial small subunit ribosomal RNA", at positions 96 to 334 of the family's 1533-position model. The record is from RNAcentral. Lineage: Bacteria; Bacillati; Actinomycetota; Actinomycetes; Actinomycetales.